UGUAAUGUGUUCCACUGAUGCAUAGGGUGGUUUCUUCUUUCCACCAAUGUAUGUAUGUAUAAAUAUACCAACUGAUGUAAGCAUGAAGUGUACAUUCUAUUUUGAACAAACCGACAUGUUUCUGUACCUUGUAAGGAACUUGGUCAGUGGUAUAUAAGCUAUGGUCACUGUUAAAGCCUCAGAGAAACUGAGAAACGGAGAAACGGAGAAAGAACAUACAGCUGGCAAAGACAACAAGUUUCUCUCCUAUGCCUGAUACAUAUUUUCUCUCCUAUGCCUGAUACAUGUGUCAAUAAAUAUUUUUGACAAGGCAACUGG
Molecule: long non-coding RNA, 318 nt
Organism: Carassius carassius (crucian carp)
Lineage: Eukaryota; Metazoa; Chordata; Actinopteri; Cypriniformes; Cyprinidae
Exons: 2
Source: RefSeq, a predicted model, not a curated record